Molecule: transfer RNA, 91 nt
Filed under: Betaproteobacteria bacterium
Lineage: Bacteria; Pseudomonadati; Pseudomonadota; Betaproteobacteria
Description: tRNA-Ser
Rfam family: tRNA
About the family: Transfer RNA (tRNA) molecules are approximately 80 nucleotides in length. Their secondary structure includes four short double-helical elements and three loops (D, anti-codon, and T loops).
Source: RNAcentral
GGAGAGAUGGCCGAGCGGUCGAAGGCGCGCCCCUGCUAAGGGCGUAUAGGGCAAAACUCUAUCGAGGGUUCGAAUCCCUCUCUCUCCGCCA